This is a long non-coding RNA of Dioscorea cayenensis subsp. rotundata (Guinea yam), 315 nucleotides long. RefSeq lists it as uncharacterized. The transcript has 3 exons. The record is from RefSeq and is a predicted model, not a curated record. Lineage: Eukaryota; Viridiplantae; Streptophyta; Magnoliopsida; Dioscoreales; Dioscoreaceae.
UGAAUUUCUAGGUUGUUCUUCUCUUGAAGCUUGGAGUUGGAGGGAGAUUCUCUUCACCGGCGGAUCCUCGGAGAGAUUAAAGAUCCAUACCAGGCUGUAGUUCACGGGACUUGGUGAGCCCAACUCUGUAGCUCGGAGCCAGGAGAAGAUCAAGUUUAGGUCUGGGGGGGUGUCAGAGAGUCGUAUUGUCUGCGUUAUCAGUAUCUUGUUAUUACCUGCUUGAGAGUGUAAGACUUGUAUUCUGACUGUAUUUGUAAUAUGCAAACUGUUGGAUUGUAUUUGUAUUCUGUAGGGCUGCUAAAGCCCGUACUUGUA